This 581-nucleotide ribosomal RNA is filed under the name uncultured organism. Its description in RNAcentral is "bacterial SSU rRNA". It matches the Rfam family "Bacterial small subunit ribosomal RNA", at positions 64 to 617 of the family's 1533-position model. The record is from RNAcentral.
GCACGAGAACACCUCAGCUUGCUGGGGUAAGUAAAGUGGCGCACGGGUGAGUAACGCGUGGGUAAUCUGCCCUCGAAUCUGGGAUAACCGCGCGAAAGCGGGCUAAUACCGGAUGAAAUCCAGUUAGCUUUGGCUAUAUGGAUCAAAGGUGGCCUCUGCAUGCAAGCUACUGUUUGGGGAUGAGCCCGCGUACCAUUAGCUUGUUGGUGGGGUAAAGGCCCACCAAGGCGACGAUGGUUAGCUGGUCUGAGAGGAUGAUCAGCCACACUGGAACUGGAACACGGUCCAGACUCCUACGGGAGGCAGCAGUGAGGAAUUCUGCGCAAUGGGGGUAACCCUGACGCAGCAACGCCGCGUGAGUGAUGAAGGCCUUCGGGUCGUAAAGCUCUGUCAAGUGGGAAGAACCCAUUCCGGCACAACAAGCCGGGGUGCUGACGGUACCACUGAAGGAAGCACCGGCUAACUCCGUUGCCAGCAGCCGCGGUAAUACGGAGGGUGCGAGCGUUAUUCGGAAUUACUGGGCGUAAAGGGCGCGUAGGCGGCCGAUUAAGUCAGAUGUGAAAUCCCGGGGCUUACCCCCG